CAAUAGCGUAUAUUAAAAUUGUUGUAGUUAAAACGUUCGUAGUUGUAUGUCUGUUAUGCGUCUGAAUGGUCCGCUUCGGUGUGUGCCGUUCGUCCAUGACAUCCGUUUGCACAAUUCGUUGAGCAAACCGUUCACUUUGAGGAAAUUAGAGUGUUCAAAGCAGGCGUUGCCUUGAAUACUUCAGCAUGGAAUGAUAGAUAGGACUUCCGUUCUAUCCGUUGGUUCUAGGGGCGUGAGGUAAUGAUAAAUAGGGUCGGUCGGGGACAUUCCUACUGAGCAGUCAGGGGUGAAAUCCUGUAAUUUGCUCAUGAGGCACUACUGCGAAAGCAUUUGUCAAGGACGACCCCAUUAA
RNAcentral lists this ribosomal RNA (352 nucleotides) under uncultured eukaryote. RNAcentral describes it as "partial 18S ribosomal RNA". It matches the Rfam family "Eukaryotic small subunit ribosomal RNA", at positions 592 to 976 of the family's 1831-position model. The record is from RNAcentral.